GAUGAACGCUGGCGGCGUGCCUAAUACAUGCAAGUCGAGCGAACAGACGAGGAGCUUGCUCCUCUGACGUUAGCGGCGGACGGGUGAGUAACACGUGGAUAACCUACCUAUAAGACUGGGAUAACUUCGGGAAACCGGAGCUAAUACCGGAUAAUAUAUUGAACCGCAUGGUUCAAUAGUGAAAGGCGGUUUUGCUGUCACUUAUAGAGGGAUCCGCGCCGCAUUAGCUAGUUGGUAAGGUAACGGCUUACCAAGGCAACGAUGCGUAGCCGACCUGAGAGGGUGAUCGGCCACACUGGAACUGAGACACGGUCCAGACUCCUACGGGAGGCAGCAGUAGGGAAUCUUCCGCAAUGGGCGAAAGCCUGACGGAGCAACGCCGCGUGAGUGAUGAAGGCCUUCGGAUCGUAAAACUCUGUUAUUAGGGAAGAACAAAUGUGUAAGUAACUAUGCACGUCUUGACGGUACCUAAUCAGAAAGCCACGGCUAACUACGUG
Molecule: ribosomal RNA, 497 nt
Filed under: uncultured bacterium
Lineage: Bacteria
Description: partial 16S ribosomal RNA
Rfam family: Bacterial small subunit ribosomal RNA
Source: RNAcentral